This 450-nucleotide ribosomal RNA is filed under the name uncultured bacterium. Its description in RNAcentral is "partial 16S ribosomal RNA". It matches the Rfam family "Bacterial small subunit ribosomal RNA", at positions 354 to 796 of the family's 1533-position model. The record is from RNAcentral.
GUGAGGAAUUUUCCGCAAUGGGCGAAAGCCUGACGGAGCAAUGCCGCGUGAAGGAUGAAGGCCUAUGGGUUGUAAACUGCUUUUGUACGGAACGAAACGGUCCUGGCUAAUACCCGGGGCUAAUGACGGUACCGUAAGAAUAAGCACCGGCUAACUACGUGCCAGCAGCCGCGGUAAUACGUAGGGUGCGAGCGUUAAUCGGAAUUACUGGGCGUAAAGCGUGCGCAGGCGGUGCUGUAAGACAGGCGUGAAAUCCCCGGGCUCAACCUGGGAAUUGCGCUUGUGACUGCAGUGCUGGAGUGCGGCAGAGGGGGAUGGAAUUCCGCGUGUAGCAGUGAAAUGCGUAGAUAUGCGGAGGAACACCGAUGGCGAAGGCAAUCCCCUGGGCCUGCACUGACGCUCAUGCACGAAAGCGUGGGGAGCAAACAGGAUUAGAAACCCUGGUAGUCC